RNAcentral lists this ribosomal RNA (215 nucleotides) under uncultured bacterium. RNAcentral describes it as "partial 16S ribosomal RNA". It matches the Rfam family "Bacterial small subunit ribosomal RNA", at positions 524 to 738 of the family's 1533-position model. The record is from RNAcentral.
UACGGAGGGUGCAAACGUUGCCCGGAAUCAUUGGGCGUAAAGCGCACGUAGGCGGCUCGUUAAGUCGGAUGUGAAAGCCCUGGGCUCAACCCAGGAAGUGCAUACGAAACUGGCGAGCUUGAGUAUGGAAGAGGGUCGCGGAAUUCCCGGUGUAGAGGUGAAAUUCGUAGAUAUCGGGAGGAACACCAGUGGCGAAGGCGGCGACCUGGGCCAAU